GCUUUUUCAUUGCAAAGAUGAUAACGGUUAGAUUUCGGCUAAACUUGACUAGAACAGUCGGACGAAACAAGCUAGAGUUGGAAUCUGAUAAUGCCAAGCUGGUUUCGGCCUUUCAAGCGGUGAUGGGACCUAUUUUUUUUCGAAACGGAGGCAAAAGUUUUGCCUCGUCUAUUAAUUAAGCAAAAGUGAGUCGGCCGGUUAAUUAACAGGAAGCCAGGCUAAAGCCAUCACAACCAUUGAGCGGCACACACAAGAUACCCCACACAUGCCACUCCAAAGGAUGCCUCAUCGAGACAGCACACGCGCAUCAUCGUCAUCAUUCCUCCCCUAGAGGCGUCAUCGUCAACCCUAAACCCUGAGCAAACGAAUCUAAUUUGCUGUAGGCGAUCGUCGACUCAACCCACACUGUAGAGGCCGAGUGAAGUUCUAUGAAGAUCCGCGCCAAACUCAGUCACCUACGAUCAAACAACGCAGCUCCGACUCUGACGGAGAACAACGAAUGGCAAAACCAAGCACGACUGCCCCCACGGAAGAUCACCCAAUGGUCCACCUGCACCAUUCAUCAUAUACCACAGGGGCCCGCCGCCGCAGCUUCAACUUUACAACAACAAAACAAACCGAGGAAAUCCCGUGGACACGACGAAGAAGAGCCGACUACCACAACUAUUGUCGCGUCGCCGAUGUCGCUCCCAUGCCACAGAAAUCUGAACUCCAAAACCACCGCCAUCCACUGGUCCCACUCACCGGUGCCGAGCUCCAAAGACAAAGCCCCCAAGAGGGAAUACGACACCAAGGCGCCGCCAUCAUCCAAUCACGCAAGAUCAAGGGAUGUGAACACUGAAAUUCCUUUUCGGUACCCACACAUCCCUCUAAAAAAGUUUACAUAUUUCGAUGCAGAUAAAAGGUGAAGAUUAUAAGUUACCCCUUCAAUAAAAAUAAACAUAAUGUUUUGAUCUCUUAUUCGGUCCAUUGGGAGAACGAGGAUCAACUAGAAGGGAUUGUUGGUGCUAUAAUCCAUGAUCAUAACGGGAUGUUUAUAUCGGCAACCAAUGAGAAGAUGAGCUUCUGUUUCGACGCUUUCACCCCAAAGGCGACAACGGUUAGAUUUCGGCUAAACUUGGCUAGAAUAGUCGGAUGUAACAAGGUAGAGCUGGAAUUUAAUAACGCCGAGGUGGUUUCGGCCUUGCAAGAGGGAAGAUUGAGUUCAGUGACAUGUCCUAUCUUUGAUGAUAGCUACUACAUGACCCAGGCCUUUAAGCAUGUUUUGUUCACUCGUUGUAACAUGGAGAGCAAUCAAGUUGCCCAUGAGAUGGCGAAGUUAGGUGGAUUUUCUACCCCCGGUACCUGGAUGGAGUCACCUCUAGUUGAGGUGGUCUCGUUUAUUGUAUCUGAUACGGUGGUUCUCACAAAUAAUUAAAUAAAAAAUCGCUUGUCAAAAAAAAGAAUUAGAAUUAGUUGAUUGUGAAUGUCUGAGAGUACCCUUUGAAAUAACUUUAAGAUUCGAGUAAACUUUUAACUUGGUAUACCGAGGCAAAACAAGUGAAAUGCAAGAAGCUACCACAUUUGCGCCAUCACUAGAAGAGAAGAUGUGUUUAAGGGGUUUUGUAGAAACAAUCGUAAUCCCCUGAACUGACAGACCGGGCCCGCUUGCAGAUGUUGACGUGGCAAAAUAAUAAUAUCAAUUGCAUAUAUACGGAUCUAAGUUUCUAUUGCAGAAAGACUCCUCCUCAAAAGAAAAGAAAAAGAAAAAAAAAGGUGAUCGGGUCCCUCCCUCCAACUACAAUCCGUGCGCCUUCAUCUUCCCCGGCACGCCUCCACUACAUGCUCGGUCAUGGGGAAGGAGCUCCGCGGUAUUUUAAUCAAAGCAUCUCCAACAGGCGCCUCAAAAAAACUCCGCACACUAAAAAUUUAUUCUUUUGGGCGCCGAACAGCUCCAGCAGAUGCUGUAGCGCUAAAAGAUUUAGGGCGCGCGCUGAAAAAUGUUAUCGCGGGCAACAUAUUUUGGGCUCCGGAUUACGUGUGCUUCACAAUUUGCACCGUCUGCUUUUUGAGUGCGCGUCUUUGAACGUCUUCUAAAGCAAUGUUGGUCCGACGCAUUAAAAGUGCUACAGUGGCGGGCUAAAAGUUUUAUUGGGCAAUUUUUAUGCGGCCGGUGGAGAUGCUCUCAAGAAGGAGGGUGUGUACUCCCCUGAUGAUCUAAAAGAAGGAGGGUGUGCGUGAGGCACUGAAUGCUAGAGAAGCACACUUGUUUACAAUGACCACGCAUGCAUGCAUGUGGUUCCAUUAGAGCAACUCCAACGCACGGACCCAACCGGACAUGGGUUUUAUCCGUUUUUUGGCCAUACGGGUCAUCUGUCCGCCUAGCGGACAUGAGACGGACACGCAAUGCACCCAACGCAGGGACCCAAACGGACAACAGAACACAGAGGCAAGCGCACAGCAGCAGCAAAACCAAGCGAGCCAGACGACGGGCAGAAGUCGGUGCCCUACAUUGUAAUGAAUGCCUCGUCCUUUGUCGCAUGCGUCGUCUACUACAUUUCGUCCUUAGUUGUCUCUGCCAUUUGGGACGUUUUGUCCAUGUCCUCGCCAUUUGUAAGUUUGUUGGUGUGGCAGUGACGACAGCUCCCCUUUACAACUUGGUCAUACAGACUCCUCUUCGUCAUGUUGGUGCGGGCUCCGGUAUCAUCAUGAGGCGUGUGAACUUAUUUUAAAGAUUUUGAUCUUGGAUGUGUGGAUCUUCCGGCGAUUACUUCGACCUUUUUUUCUCUUGAAAGCAUUGGUUCCGCGGGCAUGUGUCCUUGAUGGCUUGCCGCGCGCAAUUUAUAAUGGCGAGCUGGCUCUGCCGAUGGGGAGGCAUCAGGGGUGGCGCGCCAUCAGCCAGCUCUCGAGGAAGAAGACAAUCAGACCCUAGGGACAUUGGUGUAUUUUUUGGUUUAUUUUAGAGGGGUGUGAUGCCUCUUUCCCAAAAGAAAGUAAAGAAAAACAAGAAUACAUACCUGGGUCCCUCUCCGCUGAUUUUGUUACAAAGAAAUAUAUAUUUUUCACAUUGUACGUCUUUUUAACAAAGAAAACCUGGUGUAAUGCAAAAGGAAUAACAUAAACUUUCAAAAAACACAGUAAGUACUCCAUAUUAACCGUGUUAAUUCGAAGCCUUUAACGGAAAACAAAACAAUGUAGGCUAGUUUUUAAAAUACAUACUUUAAAUAUAUUUUUGUGUAAUCUUCGGCUUUUAUUUCUUUUUUGCAUAAGAAAACGAUGUCCAGUUAAUGUAAUGCAAAAAAGAAUCAUGCAUGUAAACUUUCUAAAACUAUAGUAAGCACUACAGAUUAGUCACCUUUGAAGGCUUAAUGAAAGAGCAAAAUAACUCUUGCGUGUCUCAAACCGGCCCUCCUCUCUCUCUAGCCUGCCUUUUCCUCUCCUCCCCCCAGCGGGCCUCUCUCUCCAAUCCCCAACUCCCAUGAUCUCCUCGGUCCGCUUCUUGCCUGUGUUCUCUUGAUUGAUUGGUUGCCUGGCACUACAUGGCACAGAGCUGGAGGCCGCGCGACGUACGUACGUCCGCCCGGCAGGACGACUCGGCUCGGACGCAGCCAAUGCAAGCAGCACCGCACAGCGGUGCGCGGUGGCCGAUGAAUGUCGCCGUGCGUGCGUGCGUGCUCGUGUACGCGACGGCAAGGGAGCGGCGUGCGUGCGUGCGUGCAUGCAUGCAAGGACGGACCGGGCGGCGGCCGAGGCGCAACACACAGGAGCUCGCUCGCAGGCUUUGGUGCCAGUCUGCUGGCCGGCCAUCGCAGGUGUUCUGUGUUNNNNNNNNNNNNNNNNNNNNNNNNNNNNNNNNNNNNNNNNNNNNNNNNNNNNNNNNNNNNNNNNNNNNNNNNNNNNNNNNNNNNNNNNNNNNNNNNNNNNNNNNNNNNNNNNNNNNNNNNNNNNNNNNNNNNNNNNNNNNNNNNNNNNNNNNNNNNNNNNNNNNNNNNNNNNNNNNNNNNNNNNNNNNNNNNNNNNNNNNNNNNNNNNNNNNNNNNNNNNNNNNNNNNNNNNNNNNNNNNNNNNNNNNNNNNNNNNNNNNNNNNNNNNNCGUUUGCAAGUUGCAACCAAGUGUGGCCUGCCCUGCCCUGCCCUUUCGUGCGUGCGUGCCCUGCCCUUUCGUGCGUGCCUCAAAUGAAAGAUGACGACUUGCUCAAUGAAAACGGAGGCAUCCUCUACUUGGAAAGCAUUGUGGCAUAUUCGCAAAAGAAAAGAAAAAACACUCUGGCAUGCGAACACUCAAGUUUUGUCUCGGCACCCGCACAUCCCUCUAAAAAGAGUUUAUGUUAGACUGUAUUUACAUAUAGCUUCUGUAUAUGUCUUGUAUAUUGUAUCGUACACCUUGGUGUACCCCUUAUAUAUGUGAGAUAGCCACACCCUUAACGGGUGUCGUGCAGUUUCCCAAAACCUUGUGUUUAACAUGGUAUCAACCCUAACCGGUCCAAUGAAUUCCGCUGCCGCCGCCGCGACCGCAUCCACAUCCGCCGCCGCCGCCGUCGCGCCGGCUCCUGCCACGGUGCCUGCGUCGCCGUUCCUCUCUUCGCGCCCCCUCGCCUCGGUCUACUCCGGCAAGGCUUCGAUGGUGGGGGCUGCGUCCGAUCCGCCGCCGCCCCCUUCCCCGAUCGCGCCAUCGCAGGCCUGGGGCGCUUCGUACCCCGACCCGGCGGCUCCCUGGAGGGGAUCGGUGCCCUACGGGGCCCCUACUCCACCGCACGCUGGGCUCUACGGGGCUCCUUCUCCUUCGACUGCAGGGCCCUAUGGGGCCCCUUCUGCGGCUACUGCGACCAACGCAGUCGCCUCCUACGGAUCGCCGUACCCGGCUGCUGCGGCCACAACGCCCUACAUCGUUGCUGCCCCGCAGCCCUACGGCGCCGCCAACAGCGGGUCGACCCGGGCGCCGGCUGUGCCCUACGGGGCCCCUUCUCCGCCGCUGCCCUAUGGUGGAUAUUAUCCACCACCGAUGGUCGUGUCGCACCCUGGAGCUUCUGCACCGUCCUCGACGCCGGGCCUUGGUGCAUCUGCUGGAUCAUCCCACCUGGCCUACUACACGUCGCCUCCCGUGGCUGAUCAUGCCACGGCCGUUGCACCGUUCUACUUCGCGCAUCUCAUCCCGGUGAAGCUUACGACAGAUAACUAUCUGUCAUGGCGUGCACAGGUGCUGCCGCUUCUCCGCAGUCGCUACCUGGAGGGCUAUGUUGACGGUUCCCUGCCAUGUCCUCCACCGCAUCAUCCGGCGUAUCAUGCAUGGGUUGCUCAGGAUCAGGCCAUCCUCUCCGCGAUCCAGUCGUCGCUCACCGAAGGGGUGUCCUCCUUGGUUCUCUUCGCUGCCACGUCUCAGGAGGCGUGGUCUGCUCUUCACACGAGCUUCGCAUCUCAGCAGCAUGCGCGCGCUCACACUAUUCGUACGGAGCUGGGGGAGACCAAGCUCCUUGACCUCAGCAUCACCGACUACUUUGGCAAGAUGACGCGUCUCGCCGAUACCUUGGCCUCCAUUGGCCAGCCGCUUCGUAAGGAGGACUUCACCACCUUCGUCAUGAACGGACUGGAUGACGACUAUGAUAACCUUGCUGAAAAUAUCAAUGGUCGUGACACUCCGCUUGAACCUCGUGAGCUCUACGCCCGCCUCCUAGCCACGGAACAGCGCAUCAAGUCCCGUCGUGCUAACCCGAGUUUUCUUGCUGCCAAUGCUGCCACGCGUGGCAAAGGGAAGCCCUUCAAAUCACCCACCGGCGGCAAGUCAGUGCCUUCGACUCCACAGACUCAGCGGCCGCCUGCCGCCGCUGCCAUGCCUACGACCGGGGGUGGUCGGUGUGCCUGCUGCCCCUCUUGUGGUGUUCAGCUCCCCUGUCAGCUGUGCAAUAUUCCAGGUCACAUCGCCUCCCGCUGUCAUCGCCGCUUCAAGCAGGACUUCCUCGGCAUCGGCAACAAUGGCAAAGGCAACGAGAAGCAGGCUGCCUUGGCCACUCAUGAGCCUGCUCGCCAAGCAGGCCACACUCCAUCAUAUCCCAUCGACCCAACUUGGUACAUGGAUACAGGCGCUACGAAUCAUUUGACAGGCGAGAUGGGCAAACUCUCCAUGCAGGAACCGUACCGUGGACAUGAUCAGAUUCACACCGCCAAUGGAGCAGGUAUGCACAUAUCACAUGUUGGUCAGGCCUCUCUCUUAACUUGCACACAAAAAUCUCUUCAUCUCCGUAAUGUUCUUAGAGUUCCUUCCGCUACUCGUAGCUUAUUGUCUGUUCCUCAACUUACUCGUGAUAACAAUGUUUUCACUGAGUUUCAUCCUUUUCAUUUUUUUAUCAAGGAUCGGGCCACGAGGGACGUUCUGCUUAGAGGUCGCCUGCGUGAUGGACUUUAUGCACUUGAUCUACCAUCUGCUCCUCGAGCGUUCAGCGGUGUCCGUGUUUCGCCCACUCAUUGGCAUGCACGGCUUGGUCAUCCUGCAACUCCCAUAGUUCGUAGUAUUCUACAUCGCCAUAAUCUUCCCAUUGUGUCCAAUAAAAAUGCUGCCACAGUCUGUGAUGCCUGUCAGCAAGGCAAGAGUCAUCAGCUUUCGUUUUUAGAUUCGAGUCGUGUCGUUAAAACUCCACUUGAGCUUAUUUUUUCUGAUGUAUGGGGGCAUGCCCAAACUUCUGUGAGUGGUCAUAAUUAUUAUGUCAGUUUUAUUGAUGCUUAUAGUCGAUUCACAUGGCUUUACCUUAUCAAGCGUAAAUCUGAUGUGUUUGAUGUGUUUCUCCAAUUUCAAGCUCACGUUGAGCGUCUUCUCAAGCAUAAGAUUAUCCAUGUCCAGACCGAUUGGGGGGGGUGAGUAUCACAACCUCAAUUCCUUUUUUAAUAAGCUUGGAAUUUCACAUCGCGUGUCUUAUCCUCAUACACAUCAGCAGAAUGGCACGGCUGAACGUAAGCAUCGUCACAUUGUUGAAACUGGUCUCACUUUACUUGCCCAUGCAUCGGUACCCUUUAGGUUUUGGAGUGAUGCAUUUUCCACUGCCUGUUUUCUCAUAAAUAGGCUUCCCACACGACUCCUUGGAAUGAAAACACCGCUUGAACUGCUGCUUAAUGAGUCUCCAGAUUAUACCUUUCUCAAAGUUUUUGGUUGUGCUUGCUGGCCUCAUCUUCGUCCAUAUAAUAAGCGCAAGCUUGAGUUUCGAUCCAAACUUUGUGUUUUUCUUGGGUAUAGCUCUCUUCAUAAAGGGUACAAGUGUCUCCACAUUCCGUCUAAUCGUGUCUACAUCUCGCGUGAUGUUGUGUUUGAUGAGAAUGUAUUCCCGUUCUCGUCUUUCUCCAUAACUCCUGCACCUCCGGUUCCAUCUUCAUCUACCACUUCUCCCCUGCCUGCUCAAUUUGUUGAUGUUGCAUACUCUCCUGCGUUGUUGCCUAAUCAUGCUGCAGGUACAGGUCGUGGAGCUCGUCUUGAGUUACUGGAUGAACAGGAGGAGCCGUCGGGUGCACCUGGCUUGGUGCCUGGUGCCAUGCAUGCGCCAUACAUGCCUCCCGCGCGACCGGGGUCGGCAGCCCCGGCCUCACCCGCGCGACCGGAGUCGGCUGCCGCACCAGCUCUUCCCAGGCUGGACUCACCUGGGCCUCAAGGUGUCGCCCCCGACUCUCCUGGGCUGGCCUCAAAUGGGCCGGCCUCAAAUGGGCCGGCCAUGGAUGGCGUGGAGCAGCCGGUCUCCCCUGGGGCGGAGUCGCCUGGGCUGGUCUCCCCUGGGCCGGGAUCGCCUGGGCUGGUGUCGCCCGCCUCCAUGCCGUCGUUUGGCCCUGCCUCGUCACUGCCUUCGUCGCCUGAUGCCUCGCCGGUCUCUCUGGUUUCGUCACGACCGGCUGCUGCUGCUCAUAGGCCACACACGCGCAGCAGGUCUGGCAUUUUCUGUCCCAAGCAACGCAAAGAUGGGACGGUGGCGUGGCUUGCAGCAUGUGUUGCUCAUCUCAAGGAAGAUCCUUCGGCUGAACCGCGUCAUUUUCAGGCUGCCCUUGGGAUCCCUCAUUGGCGACAGGCUAUGGAACAAGAGUUUCAAGCGUUAUUGACAAAUGGUACAUGGCAACUUGUUCCUCCGGUCUCUGGUGUUAAUGUCAUUGACUCCAAGUGGGUCUUCAAAGUUAAAAGGCAUGCUGAUGGUUCUAUUGAACGCUAUAAGGCACGGUUAGUGGCGAAAGGGUUCAAACAACGGUAUGGUCUUGACUAUGAGGAUACAUAUAGUCCGGUGAUCAAACCAACGACUAUCCGACUUCUGUUAUCCUUGGCUGUUACUCGAGGCUGGUUUCUUCGUCAGCUGGACGUUCAGAAUGCUUUUUUGCAUGGAGUUCUGGAUGAGGAGGUUUACAUGCGUCAGCCACCAGGAUUUGUGGAUUCUGCUCGCCCUCAUCAUCUGUGCCGUCUGGUCAAGGCGCUCUAUGGGUUGAAGCAGGCUCCUCGUGCCUGGCAUGCCAGGUUGGGCUCUGUUCUUCGGUCCCUGGGUUUUGUUCCUUCCACUGCUGAUACGUCACUCUUUCUUCUGCAUCGGCCUGAGGUGACGAUGUAUCUGCUGGUGUAUGUUGAUGAUAUUAUUCUCAUCAGCUCAUCAGAUGCUGCUGCUGAUCGUCUCAUCUCCUCCUUGAGUGGUGAUUUUGCGGUGAAGGAUUUAGGCACGUUGCAUUACUUCCUUGGCUUGGAAGUCUCUUGCUCUCCUGCUGGUUUGACACUCACUCAACAUAAGUACUGCAUGGAUUUGCUGCGCAAGGCAGGUAUGCUACAGUGUAAACAUGCCAUGACUCCUAUGUCUGCUACUGAUCGUUUGUCUGCAUUUGAUGGAGAUCCUCUCACUUCGGAUGACUCUACUGAGUAUCGCAGUAUUGUUGGUGGUCUGCAGUAUCUGACCAUCACUCGGCCUGACAUCUCCUAUGCAGUCAAUCGUGUUUGUCAGUUUCUUCAUGCUCCUCGGACUACUCACUGGUCAGCGGUGAAGCGUAUUCUUCGUUAUAUACGCCUCACUGCAGCAUAUGGUCUGCUCCUCAGCCAUCACCGUCUCCUAUGCUUUCUGCUUUUUCAGAUGCUGACUGGGCUGGUAAUCCAGAUGACAGGCGAUCAACGGGGGGACAUGCUGUCUUCUUUGGUCCUAACUUGAUCGCCUGGGCUGCUCGCAAACAAGCUACAGUGUCCAGGAGCAGCACUGGAGCAGAAUAUAAAGCUGUUGCAAAUGCUACAGCUGAGAUCAUAUGGGUACAGUCCUUAUUGAGAGAGUUGGGAGUUCCUCAAACUCAGCCGCCUGUCCUUUGGUGUGAUAACAUUGGAGCUACAUAUCUCUCAUCUAAUCCAGUGUUUCAUGCUCGGACAAAGCACAUAGAAGUUGACUAUCAUUUUGUACGGGAACGUGUUGCACAGAAGCUACUCCACAUCAAGUUCAUCUCCUCCAAAGAUCAACUUGCUGACAUCUUCACGAAGCCUCUUCCACAACCUCAGUUUGUAGGCUGCAGGCGCAAUCUUAACAUACUUUGUACUUCAGGGCAUAGUUAAGAUUGAGGGAGGGUGUUAGACUGUAUUUACAUAUAGCUUCUGUAUAUGUCUUGUAUAUUGUAUCGUACACCUUGGUGUACCCCUUAUAUAUAUGAGAUAGCCACACCCUUAACGGGUGUCGUGCAGUUUCCCAAAACCUUGUGUUUAACAGUUUACACAUUUCGGUGCAGAUUAAAGGUGAAGAUUAUAAGUUGCCCCUUCAAAAAAAAAAGAUUGUUCUAAUAUCUUAUUUCGGUCCGUUGGGAGAACCAGGAUCAACUAGAAGGGAUCGUUGGUGCUAUAAUCCUUGAUCAUAACGGGAAGUUUAUAGCGGCAACCAAUGAGAAGAUGAGUUUCUAUUUCGAUGCUUUCACCGCAAAGGCAACAACGGUUAGAUUUCGGCUAAACUUGACUAGAACAGUCGGACGAAACAAGCUAGAGUUGGAAUCUGAUAAUGCCAAGCUGGUUUCGGCCUUUCAAGCGGUGAUGGGACCUAUUUUUUUUCGAAACGGAGGCAAAAGUUUUGCCUCGUCUAUUAAUUAAGAAAAAGUGAGUCGGCUGGUUAAUUAACAUGAAGCCAGGCUAAAGCCAUCACAACCGUUGAGCGGCACACACAAGAUACCCCACACAUGCCACUCCAAAGGGUGCCUCAUCGAGACAGCACACGCGCAUCAUCGUCAUCAUUCCUCCCCUAGAGGCGUCAUCGUCAACCCUAAACCCUGAGCAAACGAAUCCAAUUUGCUGUAGGCGAUCGUCGACUCAACCCACACUGUAGAGGGCGAGUGAAGUUCUAUGAAGAUCCGCGCCAAACUCAGUCACCUACGAUCAAACAAACGUAGCUCCGACUCUGACGGAGAACAACGAAUGGCAAAACCAAGCACGACUACCCCCACGGAAGAUCACCCAAUGGUCCACCUGCACCAUUCAUCAUAUACCAUAGGGCCCCGCCGCCGCAGCUUCAACUUUAC
This 10461-nucleotide long non-coding RNA is filed under the name Triticum aestivum (bread wheat). Its description in RNAcentral is "long non-coding RNA (TAES_LNC019953)". Lineage: Eukaryota; Viridiplantae; Streptophyta; Magnoliopsida; Poales; Poaceae. The record is from RNAcentral.